RNAcentral lists this ribosomal RNA (112 nucleotides) under uncultured eukaryote. Its description in RNAcentral is "partial small subunit ribosomal RNA". The record is from RNAcentral.
UCGCACCUACCGAUUUCGAGUGGUCCGGUGAGGCCUCGGGAUUGUGGCUCCUGCUAUUCAGUUAGUGGGGGCCGCGAGAACUUGUCCAAACCUUAUCAUUUAGAGGAAGGUG